This 550-nucleotide ribosomal RNA is filed under the name uncultured bacterium. RNAcentral describes it as "bacterial SSU rRNA". It matches the Rfam family "Bacterial small subunit ribosomal RNA", at positions 355 to 896 of the family's 1533-position model. The record is from RNAcentral.
UAGGGAAUCUUCGGCAAUGGGGGCAACCCUGACCGAGCAACGCCGCGUGAGUGAAGAAGGUUUUCGGAUCGUAAAGCUCUGUUGUAAGAGAAGAACGAGUGUGAGAGUGGAAAGUUCACACUGUGACGGUAACUUACCAGAAAGGGACGGCUAACUACGUGCCAGCAGCCGCGGUAAUACGUAGGUCCCGAGCGUUAUCCGGAUUUAUUGGGCGUAAAGCGAGCGCAGGCGGUUAGAUAAGUCUGAAGUUAAAGGCUGUGGCUUAACCAUAGUACGCUUUGGAAACUGUUUAACUUGAGUGCAGAAGGGGAGAGUGGAAUUCCAUGUGUAGCGGUGAAAUGCGUAGAUAUAUGGAGGAACACCAGUGGCGAAAGCGGCUCUCUGGUCUGUAACUGACACUGAGGCUCGAAAGCGUGGGGAGCAAACAGGAUUAGAUACCCUGGUAGUCCACGCCGUAAACGAUGAGUGCUAGGUGUUGGGUCCUUUCCGGGACUCAGUGCCGCAGCUAACGCAUUAAGCACUCCGCCUGGGGAGUACGACCGCAAGGUUG